GACGAACGCUGGCGGCGCGCUUAACACAUGCAAGUCGAGCGAUGAAAUUUCGACAGAUCCCUUCGGGGUGAAGAUGAAAUGGAUUAGCGGCGGACGGGUGAGUAACACGUGAGUAACCUGCCUUUGACAUUGGGAUAGCCUCGGGAAACUGGGAUUAAUACCAAAUGACACUAACUGAUCACAUGAUCAAUUAGUCAAAGAAAUUCGGUCAAAGAUGGACUCGCGGCUGAUUAGCUAGUUGGUGAGGUAACGGCCCACCAAGGCGACGAUCAGUAGCCGGUCUGAGAGGGUGAUCGGCCACAUUGGAACUGAGACACGGUCCAAACUCCUACGGGAGGCAGCAGUGGGGAAUAUUGCACAAUGGGGGAAACCCUGAUGCAGCGACGCCGCGUGAGCGAAGAAGGCCUUAGGGUCGUAAAGCUCUUUUAUGAGGGAAGAUAAUGACGGUACCUAAAGAAAAAGCCCCGGCUAACUACGUG
This 479-nucleotide ribosomal RNA is filed under the name uncultured bacterium. RNAcentral describes it as "partial 16S ribosomal RNA". It matches the Rfam family "Bacterial small subunit ribosomal RNA", at positions 28 to 507 of the family's 1533-position model. The record is from RNAcentral.